UACGUAGGGCGCGAGCGUUGUCCGGAAUUAUUGGGCGUAAAGAGCUCGUAGGCGGUUUGUCGCGUCGGUUGUGAAAACCCAAGGCUCAACCUUGGGCCUGCAAUCGAUACGGGCUGGCUAGAGUACGGCAGGGGAGACUGGAAUUCCUGGUGUAGCGGUGGAAUGCGCAGAUAUCAGGAGGAACACCGGUGGCGAAGGCGGGUCUCUGGGCCGAUACUGACGCUGAGGAGCGAAAGCGUGGGGAGCGAACAGG
This 253-nucleotide ribosomal RNA is filed under the name uncultured bacterium. RNAcentral's name for it is "partial 16S ribosomal RNA". It matches the Rfam family "Bacterial small subunit ribosomal RNA", at positions 524 to 776 of the family's 1533-position model. The record is from RNAcentral.